AUCCUAAAUGAUGGGGGAGGAGGCAUCCCCAAACAUACCUGUACUUGAAGGUCCCUUCCCCCUUGAGAGAGGCCCUGGGCAAUACGAUAUUCAUUUGACUUCUGUGAGGGCUGAAGAAUGAAUAGUGACGCACUCCAUGCCUGCAAGACUGACCCUCAAUAAAAAUCCUGGACACCAA
Molecule: long non-coding RNA, 178 nt
Organism: Callorhinus ursinus (northern fur seal)
Lineage: Eukaryota; Metazoa; Chordata; Mammalia; Carnivora; Otariidae
Source: RefSeq, a predicted model, not a curated record